Molecule: non-coding RNA, 492 nt
Organism: Styela clava
Lineage: Eukaryota; Metazoa; Chordata; Ascidiacea; Stolidobranchia; Styelidae
Source: RefSeq, a predicted model, not a curated record
CUAUUUUACAGCUUUCCUUCACUUCCAUCAUAUAUACAAAAAUAUGAAACUAUUCGUAAUCAUCCUUCUCAUUUUUGGAAUCGUUGGAUCAAUCACAUCUCAUAAAUGCAAACAUGACAGUGAUUGUGCGGUGGGAGAAAAAUGUACUCCAGGAAUGGAUGAUGAAUUAUCCUGUCAUGGAAGUAUUGCCGAUGUUGUAAACGAGGAUAACCUUUUGAAUGCAAACUUCCUUGGCUGAUGUUAAAGCAAAUGAAUGUGUUGAAUACAGUGUUGAAGAAACUGAUUUAUUCUUCUAUAGCAUAGAAUUUUAAUACUUUUAGUUUCAUUUACUCUUGAUAUUUUUGGUUGCAUCAAAUAAUGUUGUACAUUUUGUUUGUUUCAUUUAUUUGUUUAUCACCUUCAUUACUAUUUAAUGCCCAAUUGAUCGUAUUUUUUUCACGAAAAUAUAUUUAUUCUACUCAGAUAUUAAUUUUUUCCAGGUGUUGUAAAUGA